AUAGCGUAUAUUAAAGUUGUUGCAGUUAAAAAGCUCGUAGUUGGAUUUCUGGGAGGGUGCCAAUGUCCGCCGACGUGCGUGCGCAGUGGCGCCCUUCCAUCCUUCUGUUAACGCCUCUUGGCAUUCGUUUGCUGGUGGCGGGCUCAGAUAUUUUACCUUGAGAAAAUUAGAGUGUUUCAGGCAGGCUAGGCCGGAAUACAUUAGCAUGGAAUAAUGGAAUAGGACUACGGUCUCUUUGUUGGUUUGAGGGACUGCAGUAAUGAUUAAUAGGGAUAGUUGGGGGCAUUAGUAUUUAAUUGUCAGAGGUGGAAUUCUCGGAUUUGUUAAAGACUAACUUAUG
This 340-nucleotide ribosomal RNA is filed under the name uncultured eukaryote. Its description in RNAcentral is "SSU rRNA". It matches the Rfam family "Eukaryotic small subunit ribosomal RNA", at positions 594 to 945 of the family's 1831-position model. The record is from RNAcentral.